AAAUUGAAGAGUUUGAUCAUGGCUCAGAUUGAACGCUGGCGGCAGGCCUAACACAUGCAAGUCGAACGGUAACAGGAAUC
This 80-nucleotide ribosomal RNA is filed under the name Escherichia coli. RNAcentral describes it as "partial 16S ribosomal RNA". It matches the Rfam family "Bacterial small subunit ribosomal RNA", at positions 1 to 80 of the family's 1533-position model. Lineage: Bacteria; Pseudomonadati; Pseudomonadota; Gammaproteobacteria; Enterobacterales; Enterobacteriaceae. The record is from RNAcentral. RNAcentral also lists the same sequence under 2 other names.